UUUAACAUUCUAGCUCACUUCUGCAACUUCACUCUGUAUGUUUUAGCUUCGUUAUUAUAGCAACAGUCAGGAUACUUAUUGAUCAGACCUCGUAUAUAAGAAAAUCCAUAACGUUGAUUACCUAUCUGAUAUUGAAAUAGAAACUUUCGUAGAGAAUAGAUGACAAUUAAGCAACACAGAUAGUGACAGCAACUACACUGGUCGUAGAUUUUAAGUAAUUUUUAUAAAUAG
Long non-coding RNA from Octopus sinensis (East Asian common octopus), 231 nucleotides. RefSeq lists it as uncharacterized. The transcript is spliced from 2 exons. The record is from RefSeq and is a predicted model, not a curated record. NCBI's taxonomy places the organism in Eukaryota, Metazoa, Mollusca, Cephalopoda, Octopoda, Octopodidae.